Molecule: transfer RNA, 86 nt
Filed under: Achromobacter ruhlandii
Lineage: Bacteria; Pseudomonadati; Pseudomonadota; Betaproteobacteria; Burkholderiales; Alcaligenaceae
Also listed under: 1 other name
Description: tRNA-Lys
Source: RNAcentral
GAGGCGACCGGCGAGGCGGUCGCGUCCGCCGCCUCUUGGGCGGCGACAGAGGCUGGCGUGGGGGAGUUCUUGUCUUUCUUGCCCGU